CGAGUAGGCGGUUAUUUAAGUCAGAUGUGAAAACUCACGGCUCAACCGGGAGAUUGCAUUUGAUACUGGAUGGCUUGAGUGCAGGAGAGGACAGUAGAAUUCCUAGUGUAGCGGUGAAAUGCGUAGAUAUUAGGAGGAAUACCAGUGGCGAAGGCGGCUGUCUGGACUGUAACUGACGCUGAGGCGCGAAAGCGUGGGGAGCAAACA
Molecule: ribosomal RNA, 207 nt
Filed under: uncultured bacterium
Lineage: Bacteria
Description: partial 16S ribosomal RNA
Rfam family: Bacterial small subunit ribosomal RNA
Source: RNAcentral